Molecule: ribosomal RNA, 292 nt
Filed under: uncultured bacterium
Lineage: Bacteria
Also listed under: 1 other name
Description: partial 16S ribosomal RNA
Source: RNAcentral
GGACUACCAGGGUAUCUAAUCCUGUUUGCUCCCCACGCUUUCGUGCAUCAGCGUCAGUUAUGACUUAGUGAGCUGCCUUCGCAAUCGGUGUUCUGUGUCAUAUCUAAGCAUUUCACCGCUACAUGACACAUUCCGCCCACCUCAAUCAUACUCAAGAUCAUCAGUAUCAAUGGCAAUUCUACAGUUAAGCUGUAGGCUUUCACCACUGACUUAAUAACCCGCCUACGCACCCUUUAAACCCAAUAAAUCCGGAUAACGCUCGGGACCUUCGUAUUACCGCGGCUGCUGGCAC